CCCCUCUCAGGGUUGCACCUGGAGAGUUUCCAAUACUCUACCAGUCUUGACUAAGAGAGGGAGAAUCAAGCGGAGGCCUAGACAUUCCAUUCCUAGCUUGGGCAGUGGCUAGCAAGUGGAAGACAAUCUGCUACAAGU
Molecule: non-coding RNA, 138 nt
Organism: Ornithorhynchus anatinus (platypus)
Lineage: Eukaryota; Metazoa; Chordata; Mammalia; Monotremata; Ornithorhynchidae
Source: Rfam